UUUUCUGCCUCCGCUGCCGCCAUGGCGCCCGUGAAAAAGCUUGUGGUGAAGGGGGGCAAAAAAAAGAAGCAGGUUCUGAAGUUCACCCUGGACUGCACCCACCCUGUAGAAGAUGGAAUCAUGGAUGCUGCCAAUUUUGAGCAGUUUCUCCAAGAGAGAAUCAAGGUGAACGGGAAAGCUGGAAAUCUUGGUGGAGGAGUGGUCACCAUCGAGAGAAGCAAAAGCAAGAUCACUGUAACCUCUGAGAUGCCUUUCUCCAAAAGGUAUUUGAAAUAUCUCACCAAAAAAUAUUUGAAGAAGAAUAAUCUACGUGAUUGGUUACGCGUAGUUGCUAACAGCAAAGAGAGUUACGAAUUAUGUUACUUCCAAAUUAACCAGGACGAAGAAGAGGAGGAAGACGAGGAUUAAAAUUCAUUUAUCUGGAAUAUUUUGUGUGAGUUCUUGUAUAAAACUUGGGAAC
Molecule: RNA transcript, 460 nt
Organism: Dipodomys ordii (Ord's kangaroo rat)
Lineage: Eukaryota; Metazoa; Chordata; Mammalia; Rodentia; Heteromyidae
Gene name: 60S ribosomal protein L22 pseudogene
Exons: 1
Source: RefSeq, a predicted model, not a curated record